GGAUUGAACGCUGGCGGCAUGCCUUACACAUGCAAGUCGAACGGCCGCACGGGAGCAAUCCUGGUGGCGAGUGGCGAACGGGUGAGUAAUAUAUCGGAACGUGCCCAGUCGUGGGGGAUAACGCAGUGAAAGCUGUGCUAAUACCGCAUACGAUCUAUGGAUGAAAGCGGGGGACUCGCAAGAGCCUCGCGCGAUUGGAGCGGCCGAUAUCAGAUUAGCUAGUUGGUGGGGUAAAAGCCCACCAAGGCGACGAUCUGUAGCUGGUCUGAGAGGACGACCAGCCACACUGGAACUGAGACACGGUCCAGCUCCUACGGGA
Molecule: ribosomal RNA, 319 nt
Filed under: uncultured soil bacterium
Lineage: Bacteria
Description: bacterial SSU rRNA
Rfam family: Bacterial small subunit ribosomal RNA
Source: RNAcentral